RNAcentral lists this ribosomal RNA (254 nucleotides) under uncultured bacterium. RNAcentral describes it as "partial 16S ribosomal RNA". It matches the Rfam family "Bacterial small subunit ribosomal RNA", at positions 526 to 779 of the family's 1533-position model. The record is from RNAcentral.
CGUAGGUGGCAAGCGUUGUCCGGAAUUAUUGGGCGUAAAGCGCGCGCAGGUGGUUCCUUAAGUCUGAUGUGAAAGCCCACGGCUCAACCGUGGAGGGUCAUUGGAAACUGGGGAACUUGAGUGCAGAAGAGGAAAGUGGAAUUCCAAGUGUAGCGGUGAAAUGCGUAGAGAUUUGGAGGAACACCAGUGGCGAAGGCGACUUUCUGGUCUGUAACUGACACUGAGGCGCGAAAGCGUGGGGAGCAAACAGGAUU